This 47-nucleotide ribosomal RNA is filed under the name Peristenus pseudopallipes. Its description in RNAcentral is "partial 28S ribosomal RNA". The record is from RNAcentral. Lineage: Eukaryota; Metazoa; Arthropoda; Insecta; Hymenoptera; Braconidae.
UUAUAUAUUUUGAAAUUAUAACUGACGACCUCAGAGCAGGCGAGACU